CAGCCGCCGCGGUGAUCCGUAGGGUGCAAGCGUUAAUCGGAAUUACUGGGCGUAAAGCGUGCGCAGGCGGUUUGUUAAGACAGAUGUGAAAUCCCCGGGCUCAACCUGGGAACUGCAUUUGUGACUGGCAAGCUAGAGUCUUGUGGAGGGGGGUAGAAUUCCAGGUGUAGCGGUGAAAUGCGUAGAGAUCUGGAGGAAUACCGGUGGCGAAGGCGGCCCCCUGGACAAAGACUGACGCUCAGGUGCGAAAGCGUGGGGAGCAAACAGGAUUAGAGACCCGAGUAGUCCCUGUCUCUUAUAC
Molecule: ribosomal RNA, 301 nt
Filed under: uncultured bacterium
Lineage: Bacteria
Description: partial 16S ribosomal RNA
Rfam family: Bacterial small subunit ribosomal RNA
Source: RNAcentral